CAGCUAAACACGAGCUGCGGUUCCUUUAACCAGGAUUAAUAGGGAACCCUGUGAAAAUCAGGGACUGUACCCGCAACUGUAAAUCCUACACAAGCUGAAAUCCCAUCCUUUGCCACUGUCAGGACCACUGACGGGAAGGCCGGUUUCAGCCAGGAUUAGUCAGGAGACCUGCCGCAUGACUCUUACCUGC
RNAcentral lists this non-coding RNA (190 nucleotides) under Bacteroidota bacterium. Lineage: Bacteria; Pseudomonadati; Bacteroidota. The record is from RNAcentral.